Molecule: transfer RNA, 85 nt
Filed under: Felis catus (domestic cat)
Lineage: Eukaryota; Metazoa; Chordata; Mammalia; Carnivora; Felidae
Rfam family: tRNA
About the family: Transfer RNA (tRNA) molecules are approximately 80 nucleotides in length.
Source: Rfam by way of RNAcentral
GGCUGGGUGGCUCAGUGGGUUGAGCAUCUGACCUUGGCUCAGAUCAUGAUCUUGCAGUUUGUGAGUUCGAGCCCCGCCUCAGGCU